This is a long non-coding RNA of Salvia splendens (bonfire salvia), 480 nucleotides long. RefSeq lists it as uncharacterized. The transcript has 3 exons. The record is from RefSeq and is a predicted model, not a curated record. Lineage: Eukaryota; Viridiplantae; Streptophyta; Magnoliopsida; Lamiales; Lamiaceae.
CUUAUCGAAACCCUAGUGUAGGCCGCCGUUUUGCUCUCAUAGUGAGACCGCGAAAAUCUUGACAUCAAUCGUCCAAGAUCUCGUCUCCCACCUCCACCGGUGCUAAAGUCGAAGCCAAACCGCCACGAACUCCCCUUUUGUAUCCAUCAAAUCGCCCAGAUUUAAAAUGCCUAAACGAGGUCGUCCGCGCUCCCAACCUUCACAAGAUGCAGAGAAGCAGCUUAGAUUAUACAUAGACGAUGUCGUGGACGACAUUAUUCCCGUUGCGCUGGCGAAAAAGUUUAGGGAUAGGUUGUCCGUGGGAGGCUCUAGUACGUCUGGAGAUGAUGGUGAGCAGACACAGACUAAAGGACGAAAGGGUGAUCGAUGGUACUGUCGACGGACCCCGUCGGAAUAGUUUAUGGAUAGUUUUGGUACUUUUGCACUUCUGAGAUUAGCCGUGACUUUGCAAUAUUUAUGUUCUGUGAUACAUUGUUUGUC